AGCAGCAGCAGCAGCAGCAGCAGUAGUAGUAGUAGUAGUCGCUACAGCAGGAGUUGUAGUAGUAGCAGCAGCAGCAGAAGUAGCAGUAGUAGUAGUAGCAGCAGCAGGAGUAGUAGCAGCAGCAGCAGUAGCAGCAGCAGUAGCAGUAGUAGUAGUAGUAGUUGAAGCAGUAGUAGUAGUUGAAGCAGUAGUAGUAGUAGUAGCAGUAGUAGCAGCAGUUUUAGUAGAAGUAAUAGUAGUAGUAGUAGAAGUAGUAGUAGUAGUAGUAGUAGUAGAAGUAGAAGUAGCAGUAGUAGUAGAAGUAGUAGUAGUAGUAGUAGUAGUAGUAGUAGUAGUAGUAGUAGUUGUUGUUGUUGUGGCUGUUGUAAUAGUAGUAGUAGUUUUGCAGAAGUAGUAGUAGUAGUAGUAGUAGUACUAGUAGUAGAAGUAAUAGUAGUAACUUUCAAAGCAAUGUCUACAAGUUUAAAUUCCUUAACCCUGUUCAAGGUGUAUACACACUCAAUAUUUAACUACAGUCCAGGUUUGCAAUUAACAAACUAUCUGAUAAACCUGUGUGUGAGUCAGAUAUGUCUGCUGCUAAUCUAUUGGUUAUAAAAUAUCACAGCCUUUUCUGAUUGGCUGAGUUCAAAUACAGAAAGUUUACCUGUUAGAUUGAAAUUCUGGAGCAGGCGUAUUGUAAAAUAUGCAGGUUAAACUUGUUGUUAAAAUGAAGUUAAUGUAAUGUUCACAAACAGUAGAGUUAAUGAGUUUUUCCAUUAACAAGAAUUUCUUAAAAUAAUAAUGUAUGGAUAUCAUUUGGAAAGUGACAUGAAAUGUUGUUAAAAAGUGAUGCAUACAAGUGUUUCAGAAGUCUGUCUAGGAAUAGAACAACAACUGAAGCUGACCAGUUGAUGAAAGAUAUUGCAGAGUUUGGCAGGGAAAUAACCCAAGACAGCAAAGCGGCUCUUUUGGCGCAUUUACGAAGAGGACUAACAUGGCCACAAAUUCAUGAGAUCAUGCAGGAGCCGUACAGUAUAACAGCAGUACAAGUUCUAUAAAAGAUCCACGACCUACUGAAGCCCAGCUAAUUAACAAAAAAGUUUUUAAAAACUGUAAUUUUAUCCCACCUGGGUACUUAUAAUUUACUAAGCUGCCUACACAAGUUUUAGACUUGCAAUUAUAUUUUAAACUGUCACUUGGAAAGUUAUACAUGUACAUGCAUUAUGCUCUGAAUUUCUUUGAACAAUAAAAUUAUAUAAAAGUAUUUUAAUGAAAUUGAGCACCUAAAUUGCAUUAAAGUGAAAGUAGCUGAGAAAAAUAGUAUCCUUGUGCUCAUGGGCAGCUACAUAUAUUGUGACAAACAUGAAUUAGCUAAAAUAACUUAAAUUUUUCAUUUUGUUUCUUGUAUAUCGUUUGUACAGGGUUCGUGAAUUGUUGCUGUAUAUUACUUGACUUGCUUGUAUUUUGUUACUUUGAAUACAUGUUGUGAAGGUUGCAUUAUACUUUUUAACUUUUAAAGUAGCGCCUGUUCUGUUAUGUAAGAGCCUGAUUUAUGAUAAUGGACAUAGAGGCUUUGUAAGCAUGUAUUAAACAACACUUGUUUGAUCUGAAUAAUUUGUUAAAUAAAUGUAACACAAUUUGUAAUCUGAUGUUAUAUUUUGAUGAAUUGUGAACAAAAUAAUACAUCGAAGAAACUAAGGCAUUAUGUUGAUUUUUUGUUUUGUUUUAAUCUAACCUUAAAUUAUGAUUUAUUUAAGCUGUGAGUAUUGUAUUCAUUUAAUACAUGAAUAUUGUUUUUAGACCAGAAAUUUCUUUUUCUAUUCAGUGACCAUGGUAAACGCUGGACAAUUUUCCAUGUUAUACCAGGCAUCCAUGGAAUAUUAAACAAGGAAAAACCCUGGAACAUUUUCCAGGGUUUUCCAGCCAGCAUGGAAAAAAUA
Long non-coding RNA from Dreissena polymorpha, 1919 nucleotides. RefSeq lists it as uncharacterized. The transcript has 3 exons. Lineage: Eukaryota; Metazoa; Mollusca; Bivalvia; Myida; Dreissenidae. The record is from RefSeq and is a predicted model, not a curated record.